AUCGAACGCUGGCGGCAGGCCUAACACAUGCAAGUCGAACGAGUGGCGGACGGGUGAGCAAUGUCUGGGAAACUGCCUGACGGAGGGGGAUAACUACUGGAAACGGUAGCUAAUAGCGCAUACCAUCAGAUGUGCCCAGAUGGGAGUAGCUUGCUGGUGGGGUAACGGCUCACCAAGGCGACGAUCCUUAGCUGGUCUGAGAGGAUGACCAGCCACACUGGGACUGAGACACGGUCCAGACUCCUACGGGAGGCAGCAGUGGGGAAUAUUGCACAAUGGGCGCAAGCCUGAUGCAGCCAUGCCGCGUGUAUGAAGAAGGCCUUCGGGUUGUAAAGUACUUUCAGCGGAGAGGCGUUACCCACAGAAGAAGCACCGGCUAACUCCGUGCCAGCAGCCGCGGUAAUAC
RNAcentral lists this ribosomal RNA (406 nucleotides) under uncultured bacterium. RNAcentral describes it as "partial 16S ribosomal RNA". It matches the Rfam family "Bacterial small subunit ribosomal RNA", at positions 30 to 526 of the family's 1533-position model. The record is from RNAcentral.